CGGAGGAUCCAAGCGUUAUCCGGAAUCAUUGGGUUUAAAGGGUCCGUAGGCGGCUUUAUAAGUCAGUGGUGAAAUCCGGCAGCUCAACUGUCGAACUGCCAUUGAUACUGUAGGGCUUGAAUAAUUGUGAAGUAACUAGAAUAUGUAGUGUAGCGGUGAAAUGCUUAGAUAUUACAUGGAAUACCAAUUGCGAAGGCAGGUUACUAACAAUUCAUUGACGCUGAUGGACGAAAGCGUGGGGAGCGAACAGGAUU
RNAcentral lists this ribosomal RNA (254 nucleotides) under uncultured bacterium. RNAcentral's name for it is "partial 16S ribosomal RNA". It matches the Rfam family "Bacterial small subunit ribosomal RNA", at positions 526 to 779 of the family's 1533-position model. The record is from RNAcentral.